Long non-coding RNA from Nymphalis io (European peacock), 455 nucleotides. RefSeq lists it as uncharacterized. The record is from RefSeq and is a predicted model, not a curated record. Lineage: Eukaryota; Metazoa; Arthropoda; Insecta; Lepidoptera; Nymphalidae. The transcript is spliced from 4 exons.
GACUGUGAUUGAACAUUUGCAAAAGAACGCGAUGUCUUUACAAACAGUAACAUGAGAGCUCAUAAAGAAGAGAAAGGAACUUUAAAACUAAGAAAUUCGAAUAAGUCAAAUAACGAAAUGGUUUUAAUUGGAGACGGAAAUGCAUCAGUUCCAGCCAGACUUCUCGAGAACAUGGACUAGACUUAUACGAAUGGCACUCGUAAACUUUUGACAGCUGCCUUUUCAAGAAAGGUAUUGGCGGCUCAUUUAGCAUCUCUGUUAGCGAACAGGAAAGCCUUCACCGGCUUUUCCUGACAAACCUGCUAAAAAGAAACUAGACGCAGCUCUAGUAAAUGAUAUUGUUUAAACUGUGGUAGAAAAUUAUUCUGUACCAGAGAAUGUAGUAAGAUAUCGACGCUGCGUAAGCUUUACUGGAGUUGCACAUAAACCCCCACCGGAGUCAUCAUGAUAAUACU